UACACUUUGGAGUUGGGCACUCUAAAGAGACUGCCGGUGUCAAACCGGAGGAAGGUGGGGAUGACGUCAAGUCCUCAUGGCCUUUAUGACCAGGGCUACACACGUACUACAAUGGCCGGUACAAAGGGCAGCGACACAGCGAUGUGAAGCGAAUCCCGAAAAGCCGGUCUCAGUCCGGAUUGGAGUCUGCAACUCGACUCCAUGAAGUUGGAAUCGCUAGUAAUCGCGGAUCAGCACGCCGCGGUGAAUACGUUCCCGGGCCUU
RNAcentral lists this ribosomal RNA (264 nucleotides) under uncultured Desulfocapsa sp. Its description in RNAcentral is "partial 16S ribosomal RNA". It matches the Rfam family "Bacterial small subunit ribosomal RNA", at positions 1120 to 1382 of the family's 1533-position model. The record is from RNAcentral. Lineage: Bacteria; Pseudomonadati; Thermodesulfobacteriota; Desulfobulbia; Desulfobulbales; Desulfocapsaceae.